RNAcentral lists this long non-coding RNA (393 nucleotides) under Citrus sinensis (sweet orange). RNAcentral describes it as "long non-coding RNA (CSIN_LNC005540)". Lineage: Eukaryota; Viridiplantae; Streptophyta; Magnoliopsida; Sapindales; Rutaceae. The record is from RNAcentral.
AUGAGGAAGUUACGUGCUAUGCUUCAUCAAGUUAUGGUAGUAGCGGAUAUCCACAGCGCCCUGUGUAUUAUAAGAUGAUUCAUGAUCAUCCCUAUUGGAAUUGAAAGAUGCUCGACCUUGUGACAAUCUUAUAAUAAAAAUAUGCAUAUCAUUUCCUCUAUAUUCAACGUUUAUUUGAACAUCUGUUGUAACCCUGCUAGGAUUUUAGUUGAGUUUUGUGCUUAACUUCUCGUUAUCGAGAGUUAAUAUUUUGUAAUUUGUACACUUAUCAAGAUGUCAUGUUUGAGUGAAUCUUGGCUCUACACGUCUAGAGCAUUCGAUUAAUUCACAAAAAUAGACGUUUUAGUGUGACAUAUCGAGUCUCGUACGUGUUAGUCGGUUAGGCAAAUGGGG